AGCAUCUUGGCAGGAAGCCGGACAAGAAGAGCAUUCAGUGCUUUUGCUGAACAGUCAGAUGAUGUAAAUCUUUAUCUUAAUUUGUUUGUAGUUGAUUUCAGUUGGAUCAUGAAACAUUUACAAUGGAUCAUCUUAUUUAGUUUAUUUGUUUUAUUUAUGAUCAUCUUUCCGCCGACUUUGGGUGUGCACAUAUCUAUAAUAAGAGGAUGGAAUUUAAUGUUUCCUCUACCUGAACUCCCACUAGUCAACAUUAAUACCAUUGAAUGGAAAUACCACACAGUCAGAGACAUCCUGCUGGCCACUAUUAACCUAAAAACACAGCAAACAAAACUCUUCAGCAAGAGGACUGGAAUGCAAAUAAUGGAGAAUGGAUCUCUUCACAUUGAAGAUUUAAAAGAUGAAGACUCUGGGAACUACUCGUGCACCAUCGUUUUCUAUGAUCAAAGGAUGCAGAUAGAGCAAAUUUAUCUUCAAGUACUUGAUGAUUUAAAGACUGAACCAACCAGCACAAUUAACACAACUACUGCUGAAAUCAAACAGCCAGGACUCCACUUUCCUGUAGCGGUGUUGAUUGCAAUAUCUGUAUGUUCAGCACUCAUAAUCCUUUUAAUUGUAUUCAUUAUCUUCUGCACAUGUAGAAAAAAGUGCUGCCAGACUUCAGAAGAACCUAUCUAUGUCAAUAAACCAGUUUCUCAAGGACAUAAAAGGUCACAACUGGGCAGAUGGAAAUCAGAUACAACCUUAUAAAGACCCCAAAUGAGCAAAAAGCUAGGAACACUGGAUGAUGUUGCUGCAGAUAAACUAACUCUGUCAACUACAAUUGUACAAUUGAGUGCAGCAGUAAUGACAUACAGCAUGCUUGGUGGCCAACCUGAAAGUAUCACCCUGGAUCCCUCAACAAAGGCCGAUAGGAUUUUGAAUUUGGUUUUUGUAAUAUCGUGUGGAAUAUAAUGGAUCAACCAAAGUUUGUUUUAUUCAACAUUGUAAUCUGCACAAUUUAUGUUCAUUUAUUAAAGCAAUCAAACACAAAAAAGAACAUCCAUCUUUCAUUACACGUACAUGUUUUUUUUUUAAUUAUUAUUAUGUAUAACUACACAUUAUGCAUUUGAUUAUGUACAACAAACUGUAAAAUGAGUGUAAGUAAAAGUUAAUUACGGAUUAGAUUUAAGGGAUUUAACCAAAAACAUUGCGAAAUCUAUUUGACCUGAUGAUAAACAGUUUUCUUUUUCUCCACAGCUUUAACAAUGCAAUCCAGGCUCAUUCUGAAAACGUAGUCCAGCGGACGUUUCUGGAGGCCAUGAAAUACGUCCCGGGAGGUACGUAUUUGUGCAGCUUUUGUUUUCGCGAAUACGCGAGAGGCCACUGUGUGUGCUUUUUCAUAUCUCGAAAGUCUCUCGCGAGUGCCGUUCGUGCCCGCGUUGUUCUCGCGUCAACCCACCAGAGGUCGCUGUCUGGCUGACCGAAUGAUUGACCGCACGACUGGCCAAUCGGCUGGCCCACCCUCCUCCUACCCUGAACCCAACCAGUUUUACCAGACCCGCCCGCCCGCUCACUUCCCUAAACCCGAGCAACAAUUUAGAAAAGCUGUCUAGAAAAAAAAAAUCUUUUUCUUUUUUACCCCGUUUUCAGAUUUUACCACGUUCUCACCCUGUUAUGAACUCGUUUGCUUUAUUUUUUGGAUUUUGUUUUUGUCUUACCUGGUUUCUGGAACCGCUCUUCCCUGGACUCGAACCCGGACGCCUUUGUCAACUCCUCUCUGCAUCUGAAGUCCGCCGACGCACACGAUGAGCUGACCGGACAAACUGACUGCAGCGGGAAAGCCUUCCACACGGAGGUAAGCGGUCAGCCGAAAAGCGCGAAAGGAAACGGCGUCACACCGCCCUGUAGCGUUCGCUUAAAAAAAAAUGCAAUGCAGCCAUACGUACCUCCUGGGACGUAUUUCGUGGUCUCCAGAAACGUCAACGGGACUACGUUUUCAGAAUGAGCUUGGGUUGUAACAAUGUCCAGCAAAAAGGAUUGAUUCUAAGCUUUGGUCUACAAUAAAUUACUUAGUGGCUACUUUAUUACAAAUACGCUCUGCUAGUAAUGGGUUAGACUUAUUUUUACAGGCCACACUUAUUUGAAAAAAAGUAUUUCAUUUCUGUGAACUGCAAAAUACAAUGCUCCGGGUACAUUUCAAUGCACAUUUCAGAUGACAAAUCCACUAGAGGGCGCUGUGUACAUUUUAGCCAAUCUGUUAUGUUGUACUUACACUCCCUUCUUGUACUUAUUCAUGAAUCAUGAGAAGACAGAGCUUAUUACCUAGGCCAGCAAACCACUUACCCCAACCCAAACAAUAAUGUUUUCAAAUGCAAAAUAAAAGUGCACUACAACCACC
Molecule: long non-coding RNA, 2377 nt
Filed under: Danio rerio (zebrafish)
Lineage: Eukaryota; Metazoa; Chordata; Actinopteri; Cypriniformes; Danionidae
Description: lncRNA (ENSDARG00000117430.1)
Source: RNAcentral